GAUGAAGAACGCAGCGAAAUGCGAUAAGUAAUGUGAAUUGCAGAAUUCAGUGAAUCAUCGAAACUUUGAACGCACAUUGCGCCCGCCAGUAUUCUGGCGGGCAUGCCUGUUCGAGCGUCAUUACAACCCUCAGGCCCCCGGGCCUGGCGUUGGGGAUCGGCGGAGCCCCCCGUGGGCACACGCCGUCCCCCAAAUGCAGUGGCGGUCCCGCCGCAGCUUCCAUCGCGUAGUAGCUAACACCUCGCGACUGGAGAGCGGCGCGGCCACGCCGUAAAACACCCAACUCUUCUGAAGUUGACCUCGAAUCAGGUAGGAAUACCCGCUGAACUUAAGCAUAUCAAUAAGCGGAGGA
RNAcentral lists this unclassified non-coding RNA (352 nucleotides) under soil metagenome. RNAcentral's name for it is "partial contains 5.8S ribosomal RNA, internal transcribed spacer 2, and large subunit ribosomal RNA". The stretch from base 1 to 120 matches the Rfam family "5.8S ribosomal RNA", at positions 35 to 154 of the family's 154-position model. The record is from RNAcentral.